CGGUUAAAAAGCUCGUAGUUGGAUUUCUGUUGAGGUCGACCGGUGUACACUUCGUGUAUUAUUUGGUACGGUCUCGGCAUCCUCUUGGGGAACGUUUCUGGACUUAAUUGGACAGGGCGGUAUUCAAGACUUUUACUUUGAGGAAAUUAGAGUGUUCACGGCAGGCAAGUGCUUUGAAUACAUUAGCAUGGAAUAAUAAUAUAGGACCUUCGUUCUAUUUUGUUGGUUUCUAGAACUUAGGUAAUGAUAAUAGGGACAAUUGGGGGCAUUCGUAUUAACGCGUCAGAGGUGGAAUUCUUGGAUGCGUACGACGAACUACUGCGAAAGCAUUUGCCAAAGAUGUUUUCAUUGAUCAAGAACGAAAGUAUGGGGAUCGAAGACGCUUAGAUACCGUCGUAGUCUAUACCAUAAACUAUGCCAACUAGAGAUUGGAGGGGUUCUCCUAUGUGGCUCCUUCAGCAUCUUAUGAGAAAUCAAAGUCUUUGGGUUCCGGGGGGAGUAUGGUCGCAAGGCUGAAACUUAAAGGAAUUGA
This 532-nucleotide ribosomal RNA is filed under the name uncultured marine eukaryote. RNAcentral describes it as "SSU rRNA". It matches the Rfam family "Eukaryotic small subunit ribosomal RNA", at positions 616 to 1156 of the family's 1831-position model. The record is from RNAcentral.